CACAAAAGCUAGGGGAGUUUCGACUGAGAGCGGUAUGUACCGCGACCCUUCGUACCUGAUCCGGGUAAUGCCGGCGUAGGGAAGCGCGUCGAUUGAUGU
RNAcentral lists this non-coding RNA (99 nucleotides) under Geobacteraceae bacterium. RNAcentral's name for it is "TPP sequence". It matches the Rfam family "TPP riboswitch aptamer (THI element)". Rfam says of the family: Vitamin B(1) in its active form thiamin pyrophosphate (TPP) is an essential coenzyme that is synthesised by coupling of pyrimidine and thiazole moieties in bacteria. The previously detected thiamin-regulatory element, thi box was extended, resulting in a new, highly conserved RNA secondary structure, the THI element, which is widely distributed in eubacteria and also occurs in some archaea. Analysis of operon structures identified a large number of new candidate thiamin-regulated genes, mostly transporters, in various prokaryotic organisms. The record is from RNAcentral. Lineage: Bacteria; Pseudomonadati; Thermodesulfobacteriota; Desulfuromonadia; Geobacterales; Geobacteraceae.